AGAGUUUGAUCAUGGCUCAGAUUGAACGCUGGCGGCAGGCCUAACACAUGCAAGUCGAACGGUAACAGGAAACAGCUUGCUGUUUCGCUGACGAGUGGCGGACGGGUGAGUAAUGUCUGGGAAACUGCCUGAUGGAGGGGGAUAACUACUGGAAACGGUAGCUAAUACCGCAUAACGUCGCAAGACCAAAGAGGGGGACCUUCGGGCCUCUUGCCAUCGGAUGUGCCCAGAUGGGAUUAGCUAGUAGGUGGGGUAAAGGCUCACCUAGGCGACGAUCCCUAGCUGGUCUGAGAGGAUGACCAGCCACACUGGAACUGAGACACGGUCCAGACUCCUACGGGAGGCAGCAGUGGGGAAUAUUGCACAAUGGGCGCAAGCCUGAUGCAGCCAUGCCGCGUGUAUGAAGAAGGCCUUCGGGUUGUAAAGUACUUUCAGCGGGGAGGAAGGGAGUAAAGUUAAUACCUUUGCUCAUUGACGUUACCCGCAGAAGAAGCACCGGCUAACUCCGUGCCAGCAGCCGCGGUAAUACGGAGGGUGCAAGCGUUAAUCGGAAUUACUGGGCGUAAAGCGCACGCAGGCGGUUUGUUAAGUCAGAUGUGAAAUCCCCGGGCUCAACCUGGGAACUGCAUCUGAUACUGGCAAGCUUGAGUCUCGUAGAGGGGGGUAGAAUUCCAGGUGUAGCGGUGAAAUGCGUAGAGAUCUGGAGGAAUACCGGUGGCGAAGGCGGCCCCCUGGACGAAGACUGACGCUCAGGUGCGAAAGCGUGGGGAGCAAACAGGAUUAGAUACCCUGGUAGUCCACGCCGUAAACGAUGUCGACUUGGAGGUUGUGCCCUUGAGGCGUGGCUUCCGGAGCUAACGCGUUAAGUCGACCGCCUGGGGAGUACGGCCGCAAGGUUAAAACUCAAAUGAAUUGACGGGGGCCCGCACAAGCGGUGGAGCAUGUGGUUUAAUUCGAUGCAACGCGAAGAACCUUACCUGGUCUUGACAUCCACGGAAGUUUUCAGAGAUGAGAAUGUGCCUUCGGGAACCGUGAGACAGGUGCUGCAUGGCUGUCGUCAGCUCGUGUUGUGAAAUGUUGGGUUAAGUCCCGCAACGAGCGCAACCCUUAUCCUUUGUUGCCAGCGGUCCGGCCGGGAACUCAAAGGAGACUGCCAGUGAUAAACUGGAGGAAGGUGGGGAUGACGUCAAGUCAUCAUGGCCCUUACGACCAGGGCUACACACGUGCUACAAUGGCGCAUACAAAGAGAAGCGAUCUCGCGAGAGCAAGCGGACCUCAUAAAGUGCGUCGUAGUCCGGAUUGGAGUCUGCAACUCGACUCCAUGAAGUCGGAAUCGCUAGUAAUCGUGGAUCAGAAUGCCACGGUGAAUACGUUCCCGGGCCUUGUACACACCGCCCGUCACACCAUGGGAGUGGGUUGCAAAAGAAGUAGGUAGCUUAACCUUCGGGAGGGCGCUUACCACUUUGUGAUUCAUGACUGGGGUGAAGUCGUAACAAGGUAACCGUAGGGGAACCUGCGGUUGGAUCACCU
Molecule: ribosomal RNA, 1530 nt
Filed under: Escherichia coli
Lineage: Bacteria; Pseudomonadati; Pseudomonadota; Gammaproteobacteria; Enterobacterales; Enterobacteriaceae
Also listed under: 9 other names
Description: bacterial SSU rRNA
Rfam family: Bacterial small subunit ribosomal RNA
Source: RNAcentral